GGGGGGGGGUGCUUAUUACAUGCAAGUCGAGCGAACAGAAAAGGAGCUUGCUCCUUUUGACGUUAGCGGCGGACGGGUGAGUAACACGUGGGCAACCUACCCUAUAGUUUGGGAUAACUCCGGGAAACCGGGGCUAAUACCGAAUAAUCUCUUUUGCUUCAUGGUGAAAGACUGAAAGACGGUUUCGGCUGUCGCUAUAGGAUGGGCCCGCGGCGCAUUAGCUAGUUGGUGAGGUAACGGCUCACCAAGGCGACGAUGCGUAGCCGACCUGAGAGGGUGAUCGGCCACACUGGGACUGAGACACGGCCCAGACUCCUACGGGAGGCAGCAGUAGGGAAUCUUCCACAAUGGGCGAAAGCCUGAUGGAGCAACGCCGCGUGAGUGAAGAAGGUUUUCGGAUCGUAAAACUCUGUUGUAAGGGAAGAACAAGUACAGUAGUAACUGGCUGUACCUUGACGGUACCUUAUUAGAAAGCCACGGCUAACUACGUGCAAAA
This 496-nucleotide ribosomal RNA is filed under the name Lysinibacillus sphaericus. Its description in RNAcentral is "bacterial SSU rRNA". It matches the Rfam family "Bacterial small subunit ribosomal RNA", at positions 38 to 512 of the family's 1533-position model. Lineage: Bacteria; Bacillati; Bacillota; Bacilli; Caryophanales; Bacillaceae. The record is from RNAcentral.